Long non-coding RNA from Oncorhynchus masou masou (cherry salmon), 3662 nucleotides. RefSeq lists it as uncharacterized. The record is from RefSeq and is a predicted model, not a curated record. Lineage: Eukaryota; Metazoa; Chordata; Actinopteri; Salmoniformes; Salmonidae. The transcript is spliced from 2 exons.
CCCACUACUCCUGAACAGCAGAUUAUGGGGAGAAAUGGAUGGCUUACUUUCUGAACAUUUUGACAGUGCUGGCUCCAACCAUACCACAUCACCAAACAUCCCGGAAACAAAACUUGCAGAGCAUCGAUUGGCCAGUGGAGGAUUGCUCAACAGUAAGGGGGAGUCUGUAAAUUCCGACCUUUACCAUUUUUAUAGAGACCGUCUUAGGGACAUGGACAUUUCAAAAAACGAAAAAUGUGCAACAUGCGCCAAAACACUUAACAAAAAAUGUUUUUUACAAGAUAAUGUUUUUGUCUUUUUAUACCACGAUUAACCUUCUUAUCCAUUUCCGUUUGGAACCAGACUGCUGAAUUUAUUAGGAUGGGGCCGGGUCAUGACCCACGGGUCAAUCUGAUCAUCAACAAUGGAAGGCAACUUGGACGAAGCCUUCUCCUACUUGCACACUACACCACAGUGUUUCUGACCUUUGUGAGUCGCUCUGUGAACUGGUUCGUGCAGAUGCUAAAGUGGACCACGCUGUUUGCACGGUACACCGUGUCCGUCUUUGACUCUAUCUACAGACACCUGCAUUGGUGGCGUAGAAGGGGCGGUGGAGGGGUUGCCAAGCAGAUCUGCCCCAGCCCUGACACAAAAUCAGGGUGACCAGAGUAAACCUGCCAAGUGCCUUUAAACCUGAAGAAGUCUCAAUUAUUCUAAGAGUUUUAACAAACCCUAUCACUAACCGGACAGCCUGCUCAAGACAUCACAUCAGAAGAUCUCACUGAUCUUUUGGGUAAAUGAAGUGCAACAGUGGUGAGAAAGUUGGGAGAGAGUUGAAGUAGAAUGGAAAGAGCACCUUACUGAAGUCAUUCAGCUUGAGCAUUUCAUUUUUAAAUUUAAUUUAUUACUAACAGUCUAGUGUUUUACAGUAUAUGCAUGUAUCUGUUGCAUGUGUAUUCCUUGUACUGUAAUGCCAAUAUGAAAGUUACAUGUUUGAAUAUUCAUAUCAUAAACUGCUAUAAUAAUGUUCAAGGAAAGCUUCUCCAAAACCACUAACAGGAGGGGACGAAUCGGGCAUUAAACACACUAUUGUAACACUUUUCUAAAGGGGAUAACGUCAAUUCAACUACACUACCCACCUAUGAACUGUCAUUUGUAUCAUGUAUAGGAUGUACAGUAUAGGGGUAUAACUAAGCAGCUAUUUUGUCCCACAGCCAGCUUUUCAUGUGACUGUACAUAACUGAGAAGUGUGUUUCCUGGGCCACCAGACAGGGAAUGGGUCUUUCACAUUCUAAUCUCGGCACCCAGAACCAAAUCUACUCGAUUACAUUCAUGUUCAGUCUGUCACAAGACUAUUCCCAUUCCUGCAUUAUACUGUGUCAAUCAGAAAUUCAAACCACUAUUGAGUUGAACGAAUACAGAAUUGUCUUUAUCUAUGCUUAUGUGUAUUGUUUUAUUAUUGUAUUUACUUAUUUUAUUUGUACAAACUGUGAAAUUACUAUAUGAAUGGCAGCAUUGUGGUCAAAAUCAUGCCAACAAUAAUCCCUAAAGUUGCAAAUAUGUUGACUGUUGUCUGGAUGUGUGAAGUUGGCUGGAUGUGUGAAGUUGGCUGGAUGUGCGAAGUUGGCUGGAUGUGCGAAGUUGGCUGGAUGUGUGAAGUUGGCUGGAUGUCCUUUGGGUGGACCAUUUUUGUUACACACAUGAAACUGUUGUUAGAGUGGAAAAACCCAGCAGCAUUGCAGUUCUUGACACAAACCGGUGUGCCUGGCACCUACUACCAUACUCCAUUCAAAGGCACUUAAAUAUUUUGUCUUGCCCAUUCACCCUCUGAAUGGCACACACACACUCGAUGUCUCAAGGUUUAAAAAUCCUUCUUGAACCGGUCUCCUCCCCUUCACCUACAGAUUGAAGGGGAUUUAACAAGUGACAUCAAUUAGGGAUCAUAGACUGUCCAGGUGAAAGCUAUGUCAUGGAAAGAGGUGUCCUUAAUGUUUGGUAUCCUCAGUGUAUAUCACAGGUGUCAAACUCAUUCCACGGAGGGCUGAAUGUCUGCGGGUUUUCGCUCCUCCCUUGUACUCGAUAGAGGAAUUAAAUCAAAUCAAAUUUUGUCACACGCACCAAAUACAACAGGUGUAAAUCUUACAGUGAAAUGCUUACUUACAAGCUCUAAACCAACAAUGCAGUUAAAAAAAUACAAAUAAAUCAAUCAAUAAAGUAACAAAUAAUUAAAGGGCAGCAGUAAAAUAACAAUAGCGAGGCUAUAUACAGGGGGUACCGGUACAGAGUCAAUGGACAGGGGCACUGGUGAGUCGAGGUAAUUGAGGUAAUAUACAUGUGGGUAGAGUUAUUAAAGUCACUUAUGCAUACAUAAUAAGAGUAGCAGCAGUGUAAAACAGGGGGGAGGGGGCAAUGCAAGUAGUCUGGGUAGCCAUUUGAUUACAUAUUCAGUAGUCUUGUGGCUUGGUGGUUGAAGCUGUUUAGAAGCCUCUUGGACCUAGACUUGGCGCUCCGGUACCGCUAGCCGUGCUGUAGCAGAGAGAACAGUCUAUGACUAGGGUGGCUGGAGUCUUUGACAUUUUUUAGGGCCUUCCUCUGACACCGCCUGGUAUAAAGGUCCUGGAUGGCAGGAAUGUUGGCCUCAGUGAUGUACUGGGCCGUACGCAUUACCCUCUGUAGAGCCUUGCGGUCGGAGGCCGAGUAGUUGCCAUAACAGACAUUGAUGCAACCAGUCAGGAUGCUCUCGAUGGUGCAGCUGUAGAACCUUUUGAGGACCCAUGCAAUAUCUUUUCAGUCUCCUGAAGGGAAUAGGUUUUUGUCAUGCCCUCUUUAUGACUAUCUUGGUGUGCUUAGACCCUGUUUGUUUGUUGAUGAUAUGGACACCAAGGAACUUGAAGCUCUCAACUUGCUCCACUAAGGUCACCCACUAGUAAGGAACUCCCCUCACCUGGUUGUUUAGGGCUCUAUUGAAAGGAAAAAAACAAACCUGCAGACAUGCAGCCCCACAUGGGAAUGAGUUUGACACCCCUGGUCUAGAUAAAGCCUUUAAAAUGGAAUACACAUUAGGGGAAACGGCACCACUGUCUCUCAAAUUUGGCCGUACGUGUCCUCCUCUUCUUGAUAUAUAUGCCACACCUGUCUGGUGGAUGGGUUACCUUGGCAAGGGAGAAAUGUUCACAAACAGGAAUGUAAGCAAAUUUCUGCAUUUCAUUUUGGAAAAAUUCUGGGAUCUUAUUUCAGCUCAUGAAACAUGGGCUCAACACUUUACAUGUUGCGUUUAUAUUUUUGUUCAGUGUAGUAAUAUCCCAAACGGAUAUGAAAGUUUCACCAUUAAAGGAUUCCAGCUUUAAGAACCAGUAAAGCAAACUGUUUUGGGGAUUUCUGUGAAAGCUACAGCAUGUACCCUGUACAGUAGUCUAAGUAAGAAACCUCUAACCGACUGUAGGAUGUGCCACAAUGUUCUAUCUGGGCCUAAGCUCCACAGUUGAAGUACUUUAUUGUGCAUUAUGCUAAAUCCACUGCUUGUCUAGCAUCAAUGUUCCUGUUGGGCUGCAUGAAGAAUCAAAGUCUGGCACUGUAAUACAGAAAGCAUUGUCUUGUAGUCAUGAUGAAGUUAUUCGUGAGUAAUGACCUGGGCCUACUUGGUCUAUGAAUGUGAAGGAAUCUCAAUAAACCAAACUAAACAC